AUGGCAUAAGCCAGCUUGACUGCGAGCGUGACGGCGCGAGCAGGUGCGAAAGCAGGUCAUAGUGAUCCGGUGGUUCUGAAUGGAAGGGCCAUCGCUCAACGGAUAAAAGGUACUCCGGGGAUAACAGGCUGAUACCGCCCAAGAGUUCAUAUCGACGGCGGUGUUUGGCACCUCGAUGUCGGCUCAUCACAUCCUGGGGCUGAAGUAGGUCCCAAGGGUAUGGCUGUUCGCCAUUUAAAGUGGUACGCGAGCUGGGUUUAGAACGUCGUGAGACAGUUCGGUCCCUAUCUGCCGUGGGCGCUGGAGAACUGAGGGGGGCUGCUCCUAGUACGAGAGGACCGGAGUGGACGCAUCACUGGUGUUCGGGUUGUCAUGCCAAUGGCACUGCCCGGUAGCUAAAUGCGGAAGAGAUAAGUGCUGAAAGCAUCUAAGCACGAAACUUGCCCCGAGAUGAGUUCUCCCUGACUCCU
Molecule: ribosomal RNA, 470 nt
Filed under: Escherichia coli
Lineage: Bacteria; Pseudomonadati; Pseudomonadota; Gammaproteobacteria; Enterobacterales; Enterobacteriaceae
Description: partial 23S ribosomal RNA
Rfam family: Bacterial large subunit ribosomal RNA
Source: RNAcentral